Molecule: unclassified non-coding RNA, 20 nt
Filed under: Mus musculus (house mouse)
Lineage: Eukaryota; Metazoa; Chordata; Mammalia; Rodentia; Muridae
Description: oocyte_clustered_small_RNA3444
Source: RNAcentral
UUGAGGCUAUGGCCGCUCAG